Molecule: ribosomal RNA, 253 nt
Filed under: uncultured bacterium
Lineage: Bacteria
Description: partial 16S ribosomal RNA
Rfam family: Bacterial small subunit ribosomal RNA
Source: RNAcentral
UACGGAGGGUGCGAGCGUUAUCCGGAAUUACUGGGUUUAAAGGGUGCGUAGGCGGCCCUGUAAGUCAGGAGUGAAAGUUUGCGGCUCAACCGUAAAGUUGCUUUUGAUACUGCGGGGCUAGAAUUAGGAUGAGGUCAGCGGAAUGUGGCAUGUAGCGGUGAAAUGCAUAGAUAUGCCAUAGAACACCAAUUGCGAAGGCAGCUGGCUAGACCUGGAUUGACGCUGAGGCACGAAAGCGUGGGGAGCAAACAGG